CCCAGUCUAAAAAUAGAUCAAUCCCAGUUCCCAUUUUACCCCAUUCAGGGCCCUCUUUUAUUUUUAAUAUUUUUUUUCGUACUUUUUCCUUUUAUGCGCAAAAUUAAAAAUUAGGAAAAUUUAACGCAACAAAUCUCCAGUAAUAAAAUAAUGUGUACGUUAUCUGUAGUAUAACAAGUAAAUGUUUCCAUUUCGUAUAGUCUAAUAGUAAUAAGUCUAUCGAUGUAUCAGUUUGAUGAUAAAAUGUCUUGAGUUAUAGGAUAUAGGUUUAUUAGCUUUCGAAGUGUUAU
This is a non-coding RNA of Paramuricea clavata, 290 nucleotides long. The record is from the annotation of a GenBank genome assembly. Lineage: Eukaryota; Metazoa; Cnidaria; Anthozoa; Malacalcyonacea; Plexauridae.